ACCCAACCGGACCACCAUGGUUGGGUCAGACGUAGCUAUCGCGUACGCAUUCCCCAACGGGAGCUUCUCAGUGGAAGAUUUCUACAUGAGCUCCAGAGAGC
RNAcentral lists this non-coding RNA (101 nucleotides) under Compsopogon caeruleus. The record is from RNAcentral. Lineage: Eukaryota; Rhodophyta; Compsopogonophyceae; Compsopogonales; Compsopogonaceae.